Molecule: transfer RNA, 58 nt
Filed under: Ailuropoda melanoleuca (giant panda)
Lineage: Eukaryota; Metazoa; Chordata; Mammalia; Carnivora; Ursidae
Rfam family: tRNA
About the family: Transfer RNA (tRNA) molecules are approximately 80 nucleotides in length. Their secondary structure includes four short double-helical elements and three loops (D, anti-codon, and T loops).
Source: Rfam by way of RNAcentral
UGGCUCAGUGGGUAGAGCAUGCAGCUUUUAAUUUCAAGGUUGUGAGUUCAAACCCCAC